RNAcentral lists this long non-coding RNA (201 nucleotides) under Homo sapiens (human). Its description in RNAcentral is "LNC_000877". The record is from RNAcentral. Lineage: Eukaryota; Metazoa; Chordata; Mammalia; Primates; Hominidae.
GCCCAGGCUGUCCAUUUCCCUGUUCAGGCUGGUUCCAUGUUCACUGUCUUCCUCAUCCUCCUGUGACUCAUUCAAGGGUCCAUUCCGUGUCUCUUGGAAAAGUAUUUUUUUCAUUUUUCGGUACUGUAGGUUAUCUAGCUCACGAACUGCAUCUUUUGUCCUCUGUAUGAGGUCAAUGAGGACACGUAGUGGCCGGUCUCG